RNAcentral lists this long non-coding RNA (378 nucleotides) under Gossypium raimondii (Peruvian cotton). RNAcentral's name for it is "long non-coding RNA (GRAI_LNC001567)". The record is from RNAcentral. Lineage: Eukaryota; Viridiplantae; Streptophyta; Magnoliopsida; Malvales; Malvaceae.
UUAGUUGAAUAUAUUUUAAUCACUAGUUUUCAAAUAUAUUGUGUUUUUGUUUACCAAAUUGUUAAUAUAAUUUUACAAAUUAAGUGACUUAGCACAAAUACAAUCCCUGUGGAGACGAUAACUCGAUACUUACUUAUUACUUGAUAACGACUGUGUACACUUGCACAAACCUACGCGUUACAGUAAGUGAUGAGAAUGCGUACAGAACAAGAUCAUAGCUUGUGUAAGUUACGGAUUUAACCUUGAUCUCUAGGUGAACGUAAACUGAAACAAGAAACAACGAAAAUAGAUUAGUUGUCACAAAGGAGAGUCAAACAAAAUUAAAACAAAAGAAAGAUGAACUGACUGGUAAAGAAUCCAACAGAGAAUAAAUUAGGG